RNAcentral lists this ribosomal RNA (460 nucleotides) under uncultured bacterium. Its description in RNAcentral is "partial 16S ribosomal RNA". It matches the Rfam family "Bacterial small subunit ribosomal RNA", at positions 338 to 795 of the family's 1533-position model. The record is from RNAcentral.
CCUCCUUGUGUCCGCCGUUCUUACUAUUGUUCCCUGGGCGGCCGCCUGAACCAGCCAAGUAGCGUGCAGGAUGACGGCCCUACGGGUUGUAAACUGCUUUUAUACGGGAAUAACGCGCCUUACGUGUAGGGCUUUGCAUGUACCGUAUGAAUAAGGACCGGCUAAUUCCGUGCCAGCAGCCGCGGUAAUACGGAAGGUCCGGGCGUUAUCCGGAUUUAUUGGGGUUAAAGGGAGCGUAGGCCGCAUGUCAAGCGUGCUGUGAAAUGUCCGGGCUCAACCCGGGCCUUGCAGCGCGAACUGGCGUGCUUGAGUCCGCGGAAAGCAGGCGGAAUUCGUCGUGUAGCGGUGAAAUGCUUAGAUAUGACGAAGAACCCCGAUUGCGAAGGCAGCUUGCUGCAGCGGAACUGACGCUGAUGCUCGAAAGCGCGGGUAUCGAACAGGAUUAGAUACCCCAGUAGUC